AAGAGGAAUUCACGCACAACAAAUGGUGAAGACGGGCAGCAACACUGAUGACGAUAGCUUGAAAACAAAACAUGGCAUCGUCUGGAAAAGAUGAGUGAAUCUCCAUCUAGAACUGAUGCAGUCCAAAAUGACCUGGAAGAACUAUUUUGGAUUCUUUUCCUGCAAAACAUCGAUCAAAACCAUGUCUAGAGUAAAUUUUACUUCACACUGCUUGCUCUUCUGUUAUCCACAAUAGUGGCUUGAGUAGAACGCAGCUAGAACAUGAAGAAGAAUCGUAGCCAGAAACAUGACAAUAUCCUUAAAAAGGAGAGGGAUCUACCAUACAGCAUAGUACGGAUUGAGAUAACACAGCCCGGAUAUAACAAGAGCACAUUUGACCAACACAUCUAAGAAAGCCGAGAACCAAGGAGAACAAAACAGGAACAAGGAUAACCAGAGGACAAGAGGGCUAGCCACGACCGUCGAUCGAACAGAUCCGGACCUCCAUCAUCACACCAGAGGGGAUCUGGUCAUGAUAAGAAGAAACAGCCUCAUCCGCUUCAAAAACGCUUUUCCACAACAACUUAUACCGAAC
This 574-nucleotide long non-coding RNA is filed under the name Brassica napus (rape). Its description in RNAcentral is "long non-coding RNA (BNAP_LNC022857)". The record is from RNAcentral. Lineage: Eukaryota; Viridiplantae; Streptophyta; Magnoliopsida; Brassicales; Brassicaceae.